This 2545-nucleotide long non-coding RNA is filed under the name Homo sapiens (human). Its description in RNAcentral is "long independently transcribed non-coding RNA 673, transcript variant 5 (LINC00673)". The record is from RNAcentral. Lineage: Eukaryota; Metazoa; Chordata; Mammalia; Primates; Hominidae.
AGGGCGCGCAGGCGGCGCGGGUGCGCGGUGCGGCGCUGGUAUCCAGAGGACGCGGUCACCGCCUCUGGCAUUUGUCGUUCUGCGCUUCUCCGCAAGGACCCUCUGUUAGGCAGGCGCCCACCGUAAGCCUCCCGGGCCUUGUGAACCUGCAAACCCAAGUCUGAGAGACGAUCCGCCUUCAGCGCUUUCCAGCUUGGCAGAGAGGCUUUCCCGGCGGGGAUCUUUGGUUGGCGCUGGCGAUGCGCGGGGAAGAAAGGCGAGGAGCGGCGUCCAGGCUGGGUGAUGUCCCAGCACGAGUAGGCGGGAUGCGCUCGCUUGGUCCUCCGGGCGCCCGGUCCCUGCCCGCGUCGCGCGCCCACCCCUGGGGACGAGAAGGCGGCCGCCUGAGGACCCCCGCCCGCGACCUCCGCGAGUCUGGAGCGCAGAGGACAGGGUCUGGCUGCUCUUUGGCCUUGGAUGGAAAGUGGGGAAUUGGGUGGGGGGCUGCGGACCCCUUAACGUGGAUUACUUGGUGUGUAUCAGCUGGGCUCAGAAGACCCACGACCUCUUCUCCAUCCGUGGAUUGAUUUGUUCUGCUUAACAGCUGGGUCGCCAAGCUGGAGGUGGAAUCAGAGGUUUCUGGCUGACUCGGUGGGUGCUUUGAACCAGGAAAGGACAAGAAAGAGAAGAUCAGGUUCAAGUUGCCAGCCAGACUCUGGGCUUCCAGGAGGAGUGGGCUGUGGAUGGCCUGGCCUCAUUUGCAUGUCCCUCUCCUCCCGGCCCUGCAGGUGCCACCUCCUGAGUCCUGGUUCCUGCGGCUCCGUCGAAUCUGCAGUGAAGGCCUUUGGGAAGCGUGGGUUAUGUGGGUCCAGGGGUCCCAUCCUCCCGUGGAGGCCCUUGACCUGAGGAUCACUAACUCACACCCCACCGACUUCCGGCCCCCAACAAGGGCAGUGUUCCUCUUGCUCCAUUCUGCUCUGAAGUCCCCCAAACCGCUUCCUGGGGCUGCUUAGUGAAAUACAAGGCUCAUCUCUGAGGACCUCUACAGGGCUGGAUGGGAAGGACUGAUCCACAUUCCCACCAGGAAGUUUAGCAGAACCCCCGCGUGCCACCUGGACCCCUUGGAAGGACCUGGCUCAGGCUGGACCACCUCUUGAGAGGCAGGAGCUCUGGAUUUGAUCAAGAAUUCUUUGCUGAGCAUGGUGCCUCAUGCCUAUAAUCCCAACACUUUGGGAGGCCAGUGUGGGAGGAUCUCUUGAGCCCAGGAGUUCAAGACUAGCCUGGGCAACACAGAGAGACCCCAUCUCUAAAAUAAUAAUAAUAAUAAAAUAAAAAAUUAGCAGGGCAUGGUGGCAUGUGCCUGUAGUCCCAGCUACCCAGGAGGCUGAGGCAAGAGGAUGGCUGGAGCCUGGGAUGUUGAGGCUGCAAUGAACUGUGAUUACCCCACUGCACUCCAGCCUGGGCAAAAGAGCGAGAGACCCUGUCUCAAAUAAUAAUAAUAAUAAUAAUCUUAUUUUGGAGAAUAAAGAGACCUCUGGAUUUGAGGUGCCAUUUGGGUAGAAAGAAAAGACGUUUACACCGAGAAAUAGUCUGUGUUGCCCUGAAGGAGCAGAGGGAUGCAUCGCUGGAGGUGACCUACAGUUGAAGAAGACUCAUUAUGACAGACCUUGUCCUUCUUCCUUGUGGAAAGUGUUUCCUCUGCUGCUACUGCUCAUGAGACUCUUCCCCCUCCCUGUCCCAGGGAACCAAAGGGCUUUCUACCACACCCUUUCUUGCCCCCCGCCUCCCAUGUCUGCUGUGCCUUUGUACUCAGCAAUUCUUGUUUGCUCCAUUAUCUUCCAGCCGGAUACAGAGUGAAUAGUUAACCACACUUAGGUCAAAUAGGAUCUAAAUUUUUGUUCCUGCUCCGUGUAAAGAGGCCAGUGUUUGUGUGUUGCAAGCAGCCUUGGAAUAGUAACUCUUCUCAUUUGUUUGGGAUCUGGCCACCAAGUUCCAGAAUGAUACACGGAUCAGUGCAGAAGUUCAUCAGGCUCUCGGACCUUAGGGCUGUUGGAGAAGGCUUCAGCAGCAGAACUGAUGGUGAAGGCUCGUGUUCUCCAUCCUCAACUUUCUUUGCUUCGAUCAUACACAAGAAUACAUUUGGAAGGGCAAAAAAUGAACACUGUCGUUCAUUGCAGCCGUGUUUUGUGACACAGAUGCACAGUCUGCUGUGAAGACCUUCUCUCAAGUGGCAUUUGGGAGUCCAUGCCAGAUCAUGGUGCUUCAUGAGAGACUGACAGCUAUCAGGGGUUGUGGCACUUAGUGAGGACUCUCCUCCCCCAGUGUGUGCUGAUGACACAUACACACCUGACAAUAGCUUGAGUCUUCUCUGUUCCUUUUACUCUGUAGCCAACAUACACAUGAUUUAAAACCCUUUCUAAAUAUCUAUCAUGGUUCAUCCUUGUCCAAAUGCAGAGUCAGAGCUAUUUGUACUUCAUUAUUAUUUCCAAGGCGAAUAGUUGGCUUUCUUUUUGCAAAAAUAAUUAAAGUUUUUGUAUGUUGCAGUUGCAAAAAAAAAAAAAAAAAA